Molecule: ribosomal RNA, 462 nt
Filed under: uncultured bacterium
Lineage: Bacteria
Description: bacterial SSU rRNA
Rfam family: Bacterial small subunit ribosomal RNA
Source: RNAcentral
UUCUACGGGAGGCAGCAGUAAGGAAUAUUGGACAAUGGGCGCAAGCCUGAUCCAGCCAUGCCGCGUGAAGGAUUAAGGUCCUCUGGAUUGUAAACUUCUUUUAUAAGGGACGAAAAAAGGGAAUUCUUUCUCACUUGACGGUACCUUAUGAAUAAGCACCGGCUAACUCCGUGCCAGCAGCCGCGGUAAUACGGAGGGUGCAAGCGUUAUCCGGAUUCACUGGGUUUAAAGGGUGCGUAGGCGGGUAUUUAAGUCAGUGGUGAAAUCCUAGAGCUUAACUCUAGAACUGCCAUUGAUACUAUUUAUCUUGAAUAUUGUGGAGGUAAGCGGAAUAUGUCAUGUAGCGGUGAAAUGCUUAGAUAUGACAUAGAACACCUAUUGCGAAGGCAGCUUACUACGCAUAUAUUGACGCUGAGGCACGAAAGCGUGGGGAUCAAACAGGAUUAGAUACCCUGGUAGUCC